AAAUGCACAUUUAAGUUUGGGUGGGUUUGAGUUAGAUGCUCGCCAUCUUUUUGUUUUGAUAGCUACCCUGGCUAUUCUUCCUACUGUUUGGCUGCGUGACCUCAGUGUCCUAAGUUAUAUCUCAGUUGGAGGAGUUAUUGCUUCUAUUUUGGUGGUCCUUUGCUUGUACUGGGCUGGCUUGGUGGAUCAUGUAGGCUUUGAAAGCAAAGAGACUAUACUUAACCUACCAACUCUUCCUGUUGCUAUUGGGCUUUAUGGAUUUUGUUACUCUGGGCAUGCGGUCUUUCCCAAUAUAUAUACAUCCCUAGCAGAUCGUAGUCAAUUUCCUGCAGUCCUCUUGACCAGUUUUGGUUUGGUGACUCUGUUGUAUGGUGGAACUGCUGUGUUGGGAUACCUGAUGUUUGGGGACUCAGCUGAAUCCCAGUUUACUCUAAAUUUGCCAAAAGAAUUAAUGGUUUCCAAGGUUGCUGUAUGGACAACUGUUGUUAAUCCUUUUACAAAAUUUGCUUUAACCCUGUCUCCAGUAGCAAUGAGUCUGGAGGAAUUGUUGCCGUCAAAACACACCAAAUCUCACCUGUACCCAAUCCUCAUUAGAACUGCAUUGACAAUCUCCACAGUAGUAGUUGGUCUUGCGGUUCCAUUUUUUGGUUUGGUAAUGGCAUUGAUUGGAUCUUUACUUACAAUGCUAGUAACUCUAAUACUACCUUGUGUUUGCUUCCUGAGAAUCUUGAAGGGGAAAACAAGCCGCCUUCAGGUUACCAUAUGUGUCUUAAUUAUCACAGUAGGUACUGCAUCUGCAUUGGUCGGUUCUUAUUCAGCUCUCUCCAAGAUCAUCCAGAGUAUGAUAUAAAUUUUGGUAAUACUAUGGCACCAGAUGUUUUUGAGCUUAGAGUUCGUUAAGUUUCUAAUUAUAAAGAUUUCACAAGUUCCUAUUUUCUUGUAAGAGAUCGCGCUCAUACUCCAUUUUCA
This 969-nucleotide unclassified non-coding RNA is filed under the name Hevea brasiliensis (rubber tree). The record is from RNAcentral. Lineage: Eukaryota; Viridiplantae; Streptophyta; Magnoliopsida; Malpighiales; Euphorbiaceae.